RNAcentral lists this long non-coding RNA (1155 nucleotides) under Capra hircus (goat). RNAcentral describes it as "lncRNA (ENSCHIG00010025716.1)". Lineage: Eukaryota; Metazoa; Chordata; Mammalia; Artiodactyla; Bovidae. The record is from RNAcentral.
AUGAAAAAAAAAAAUUUGCAGUUCAGAAUCAAAGGAAACAGGACAUUUGAAUUCUAUCUAGAGAUGAGUGAACUACGGAAUAAAAAGGUCCUGCUAUAUGCUCAGGGUUAUGUGACCACAACUUUCCAUUCUGAAAAGAGACCAACACAGAGAGAGAUGUCUGUGAUACCUUACAGAGAGAACACGCAUGAUAAAGUCAGUUCUAAUUCAUGUCACUAUUCUGAAAAAGUAUUUUUUAAAAAGCUUUCACAGCCGAGAUAGAUCCAUAGUACGUCUGUGCUCAGUCACGUCCGACUCUCUGUGACCCCAUUGACUAUAGCCCGGCAGGCUCUGUCUGUGGGACUCUCCAGGCAAGAAUACUGGAGUGGGUUGCAAUUUACUCCUCCAGGGCAUUUUCCUAACCCAGGGAUCAAAGCCACACCUCCUGCACUGCAGGUGGAUUCUUUACCAUUACGCCACCUGAUGAAGCCAAGAUAGAGCCAUAUAAGGUAUAAAAAGAACCACCAUUAUGACAGCCAUGCGCAAGAACAGAGGAAUUAGUUCAUCUGACAAUGUCAAGGAAUUUGAGAACUAGCUCCUGAGUUUAGAUUGGUUAUCAAUUACUAUUCUCGUGUCUCAUAAAGUUGGCCCAAAGAUUUUUAGAUUCCAAACAGAUUCUCUCCCUGUAUAGACAAAUGCAGACAUCAAUCACCAUUUUCCUAUUCCUACAGUAAUAUGAAUGCUUAACUGACAUAUCUAAAAAUAUUUAACCUUAAUUUUAACUUUGUCAUUCAUGUGGAAAACUUGUGAAAAACAUAAAAAUGACAGAAAAUUUAUACUAACCGGUUUUAGGAGCUAAUAUGUAAAUGUCCUCGCAAUUAAAUCUUGCCAAUGACUUUACUCUUUGGGACUGCAUUUGAGAACUUGCUUAAAGGACAUAACAAGUAGAUGCAAUGCAUAUAUUAGACUGAUACUGGUUUGGAAAAUCAAAUGUAAAGAAAACUCUGGUAUUAAUCGUCUCAUUAAAAGAGACGAAAAUAUGCUGAAAGGUAGAGAGCUGGGAAAAAAAGGCAAAGUAACACUAAGUGUUCAAACAAUGGUAGACUCUAAAUGGUGGGAAUUUAACUUUUUUUUUUUUAAUCUAAAUAUUUAAGUAAAAUAUAAAGGACGCAUACA